GACGAACGCUGGCGGCGUGCUUAACACAUGCAAGUCGAACGGAAAGGCCCUGCUUUUGUGGGGUGCUCGAGUGGCGAACGGGUGAGUAACACGUGAGUAACCUGCCCUUGACUUUGGGAUAACUUCAGGAAACUGGGGCUAAUACCGGAUAGGAGCUCCUGCUGCAUGGUGGGGGUUGGAAAGUUUCGGCGGUUGGGGAUGGACUCGCGGCUUAUCAGCUUGUUGGUGGGGUAGUGGCUUACCAAGGCUUUGACGGGUAGCCGGCCUGAGAGGGUGACCGGCCACAUUGGGACUGAGAUACGGCCCAGACUCCAACGGGAGGCAGCAGUGGAGAAUAUUGCACAAUGGGCGGAAGCCUGAUGCAGCAACGCCGUGUGCGGGAUGACGGCCUUCGGGUUGUAAACCGCUUUCGCCUGUGACGAAGCGUGAGUGACGGUAAUGGGUAAAGAAGCACCGGCUAACUACGUG
RNAcentral lists this ribosomal RNA (468 nucleotides) under uncultured bacterium. RNAcentral's name for it is "partial 16S ribosomal RNA". It matches the Rfam family "Bacterial small subunit ribosomal RNA", at positions 28 to 507 of the family's 1533-position model. The record is from RNAcentral.